GCGGCGAGUGGCGAACGGGUGAGUAAUAUAUCGGAACAUACCCUAGAGUGGGGGAUAACGUAGCGAAAGUUACGCUAAUACCGCAUACGCACUAAGGUGGAAAGUGGGGGAUCGCAAGACCUCAUGCUCAUGGAGUGGCCGAUAUCUGAUUAGCUAGUUGGUGAGGUAAAGGCUCACCAAGGCGACGAUCAGUAGCUGGCCUGAGAGGACGACCAGCCACACUGGAACUGAGACACGGUCCAGACUCCUACGGGAGGCAGCAGUGGGGAAUUUUGGACAAUGGGGGCAACCCUGAUCCAGCAAUGCCGCGUGAGUGAAGAAGGCCUUCGGGUUGUAAAGCUCUUUUGUCAGGGAAGAAACGGUGAUCUCUAAUAUAGAUUGCUAAUGACGGUACCUGAAGAAUAAGCACCGGCUAACUACGUGCCAGCAGCCGCGGUAAUACGUAGGGUGCAAGCGUUAAUCGGAAUUACUGGGCGUAAAGCGUGCGCAGGCGGUUAUAUAAGUCAGAUGUGAAAUCCCCGGGCUCAACCUGGGAACUGCAUUUGAGACUGUAUGGCUAGAGUGUGUCAGAGGGGGGUAGAAUUCCACGUGUAGCAGUGAAAUGCGUAGAUAUGUGGAGGAAUACCGAUGGCGAAGGCAGCCCCCUGGGAUAACACUGACGCUCAUGCACGAAAGCGUGGGGAGCAAACAGGAUUAGAUACCCUGGUAGUCCACGCCCUAAACGAUGUCUACUAGUUGUCGGGUCUUAAUUGACUUGGUAACGCAGCUAACGCGUGAAGUAGACCGCCUGGGGAGUACGGUCGCAAGAUUAAAACUCAAAGGAAUUGACGGGGACCCGCACAAGCGGUGGAUGAUGUGGAUUAAUUCGAUGCAACGCGAAAAACCUUACCUACCC
This 895-nucleotide ribosomal RNA is filed under the name uncultured bacterium. Its description in RNAcentral is "bacterial SSU rRNA". It matches the Rfam family "Bacterial small subunit ribosomal RNA", at positions 88 to 980 of the family's 1533-position model. The record is from RNAcentral.